CCUACGGGUGGCAGCAGUGAGGAAUAUUGGUCAAUGGGCGCGAGCCUGAACCAGCCAAGUCGCGUGAGGGAAGACGGUCCUAUGGAUUGUAAACCUCUUUUGUCGGGGAGCAAAAGACGCCACGCGUGGCGUUCCGAGAGUACCCGAAGAAAAAGCAUCGGCUAACUCCGUGCCAGCAGCCGCGGUAAUAAGGAGGAUGCGAGCGUUAUCCGGAUUUAUUGGGUUUAAAGGGUGCGCUGGCGGAAGAUCAAGUCAGCGGUAAAAUUGAGGGGCUCAACCUCGUCGAGCCGUUGAAACUGGUUUGCUUGAGUGAGUGAGAAGUAUGCGGAAUGCGUGGUGUAGCGGUGAAAUGCAUAGAUAUCACGCAGAACUCCGAUUGCGAAGGCAGCAUACCGGCGCUCAACUGACGCUCAUGCACGAAAGUGUGGGUAUCGAACAGGAUUAGAUACCCCAGUAGUC
RNAcentral lists this ribosomal RNA (459 nucleotides) under uncultured bacterium. RNAcentral describes it as "partial 16S ribosomal RNA". It matches the Rfam family "Bacterial small subunit ribosomal RNA", at positions 338 to 795 of the family's 1533-position model. The record is from RNAcentral.